CGCGGAGCUGCUGGGCACCACCUGGGUGCUCCUCGCAGGGCUGCUGGUGCCGUUCCCAGCUCUGGCAGCAACGGAGGCUGUCCACAGAGCCGCUGCUGUGGGAUCCUCGGUGCUGCUCCCCGGGCUGGAUAACGCCCACAGCGAUUCCAUGUGCUGGGAAUUCCUCAAUGGCACCGGCCCCCACCCCAUCCUGCAGCACGAGGGGGGUGCCCAUGCCCCAGCCAUCCACGCUCCCUAUGCAGGACGAGCUGUUUUCCACCCAUCCAAUGGAUCUCUCCUGCUGGAGGAUGUCCAGGAAAGUGACAGUGGCACCUACAGAGUGACUGUCAACUCAGGACACAGGAGGAGCCUGGAAAUUCAGCUGGAAGUCCUCCAGCCUGUGUCCCGCCCUCAGCUCCGGACCAGCAGUCUCCUGGCUCGGGCCACUGGCCAGGUUGUCUGUGAGGCGGCAGAGGGCAGAGUGGACACCAUCACCUGGAAGAAGG
RNAcentral lists this long non-coding RNA (485 nucleotides) under Chloebia gouldiae (Gouldian finch). RNAcentral's name for it is "Erythrura gouldiae (Gouldian finch) lncRNA (ENSEGOG00005009562.1)". Lineage: Eukaryota; Metazoa; Chordata; Aves; Passeriformes; Passeridae. The record is from RNAcentral.